RNAcentral lists this ribosomal RNA (416 nucleotides) under uncultured bacterium. Its description in RNAcentral is "bacterial SSU rRNA". It matches the Rfam family "Bacterial small subunit ribosomal RNA", at positions 1001 to 1414 of the family's 1533-position model. The record is from RNAcentral.
CCGAAAGGCAGGAGUGCCUGCAAGGGAGCGCGGAGACAGGUGGUGCAUGGCUGUCGUCAGCUCGUGUCGUGAGAUGUUGGGUUAAGUCCCGCAACGAGCGCAACCCUCACCUCUUGUUGCCAUCAGGUCAUGCUGGGCACUCUAGAGGAACUGCCCCGGUCAACGGGGAGGAAGGCGGGGACGACGUCAAGUCAUCAUGCCCCUUACGUCCUGGGCUACACACGUGCUACAAUGGCCGGUACAAAGGGAUGCCACACCGCGAGGUAGAGCUAAACCCAAAAAGCCGGUCUAAGUUCGGAUUGGAGUCUGCAACUCGACUCCAUGAAGGAGGAAUCGCUAGUAAUCGCGUAUCAGCACGACGCGGUGAAUACGUUCCCGGGCCUUGUACACACCGCCCGUCACACCACGAAAGCCAG